This 349-nucleotide ribosomal RNA is filed under the name uncultured soil bacterium. RNAcentral describes it as "bacterial SSU rRNA". It matches the Rfam family "Bacterial small subunit ribosomal RNA", at positions 26 to 378 of the family's 1533-position model. The record is from RNAcentral.
AGAUUGAACGCUGGCGGCAUGCCUAACACAUGCAAGUCGAACGCGAAAGGGGGCAACCCUGAGUAGAGUGGCGGACGGGUGAGUAACGCAUCGGAAUUUACCCUGUUGUGGGGGAUAACCCAGGGAAACUUGGGCUAAUACCGCAUGAUCUGGUGACAGCAAAGCGGGGGCUCAGCAAUGACCUCGCGCAAUGGGAUGAGCCGAUGUCUGAUUAGCUAGUUGGUAGGGUAAAGGCCUACCAAGGCGACGAUCAGUAGCUGGUCUGAGAGGAUGAUCAGCCACACUGGGACUGAGACACGGGCCCAGACUCCUACGGGAGCAGCAGUGGGGAAUAUUGGACAAGUGGGGG